UACGGAGGGGGCUAGCGUUGUUCGGAAUUACUGGGCGUAAAGCGCGCGUAGGCGGAUUGCCAAGUCAGGGGUGAAAUCCUGGGGCUCAACCCCAGAACUGCCUUUGAUACUGGCAAUCUUGAGUUCGAGAGAGGUGAGUGGAAUUCCGAGUGUAGAGGUGAAAUUCGUAGAUAUUCGGAGGAACACCAGUGGCGAAGGCGGCUCACUGGCUCGAUACUGACGCUGAGGUGCGAAAGCGUGGGGAGCAAACAGG
This 253-nucleotide ribosomal RNA is filed under the name uncultured bacterium. RNAcentral's name for it is "partial 16S ribosomal RNA". It matches the Rfam family "Bacterial small subunit ribosomal RNA", at positions 524 to 776 of the family's 1533-position model. The record is from RNAcentral.